RNAcentral lists this unclassified non-coding RNA (659 nucleotides) under uncultured Bradyrhizobium sp. RNAcentral describes it as "partial 16S-23S ribosomal RNA intergenic spacer". The stretch from base 526 to 659 matches the Rfam family "Bacterial large subunit ribosomal RNA", at positions 1 to 133 of the family's 2925-position model. The record is from RNAcentral. Lineage: Bacteria; Pseudomonadati; Pseudomonadota; Alphaproteobacteria; Hyphomicrobiales; Nitrobacteraceae.
CGUGAGGUCGGAGUUCAGUCUUCCCAGGCCCACCACUUUCAUCGAGUGAGCAUUCGUCUUCUGGUUACGGGGCCAUAGCUCAGCUGGGAGAGCGCGUGCUUUGCAAGCAUGAGGUCGUCGGUUCGAUCCCGUCUGGCUCCACCAGAUGGUUUGAUCACCGAGAUCUUGACCGUCGUCCGCGAAACAUCACUUCGCAUCCUGCUAGUCUGGAUAGACAGCAGUUUGCGUGUUUUCUGACAUCGUAAAGAGGAGAUCGAUCCGAGUUGGGUCGUGCAGCAUAUCGUUGCGCGAGCCUUCAUUAUCUCCGGAUCAUUUCGGCGCUCGCUUCCAGCCGUGAGGUUGGAUGCGGGUUGUAAAUGAUCCUUUUAGCGAAGCUUGACCGCCUCGCUAUCGGAACGAUCUUACGAAGCAAGCUGGUCUUUCUAGUCAAUGUCCGGCUGCGGAUAGCGUUCAUCGAGGGCGCGUGCCGCAAGGCAAUUCUGCAGACAACAUUCUGCCGAGUGUGUGGACAUUGAUAAUGAGAGCAAUCAAGUGCCUUAAGGGUGUUCGGUGGAUGCCUUGGCGCUGAGAGGCGAUGAAGGACGUGCUACGCUGCGAUAAGCCGUGGGGAGCUGCGAAGAAGCUUUGAUCCGCGGAUUUCCGAAUGGAAAAACCCCGGA